AAACUUUCAACAACGGAUCUCUUGGUUCUGGCAUCGAUGAAGAACGCAGCGAAAUGCGAUAAGUAAUGUGAAUUGCAGAAUUCAGUGAAUCAUCGAAUCUUUGAACGCACAUUGCGCCCCUUGGUAUUCCGGGGAGCAUGCCUGUUCGAGCGUCAUU
This 157-nucleotide ribosomal RNA is filed under the name fungal endophyte sp. AP455. RNAcentral's name for it is "5.8S ribosomal RNA". It matches the Rfam family "5.8S ribosomal RNA". Rfam says of the family: 5.8S ribosomal RNA (5.8S rRNA) is a component of the large subunit of the eukaryotic ribosome. The record is from RNAcentral. Lineage: Eukaryota; Fungi.